RNAcentral lists this long non-coding RNA (287 nucleotides) under Malus domestica (apple). Its description in RNAcentral is "long non-coding RNA (MDOM_LNC019676)". Lineage: Eukaryota; Viridiplantae; Streptophyta; Magnoliopsida; Rosales; Rosaceae. The record is from RNAcentral.
AUUAACAAUUAAAGGCGGAAUCAUGCUUGCAUGUACUCAAAAACAAAACAAUACCAUGAAAUUCAAAGCCUAGUAGAUUGGUGAACCAAUAAUCAACUCAAAACAAAGUGAGUUGAAAUUAUUACCUUUGUAGAUUCCUCUUUGCAUAAGCAAAGGCUAAUCACCCAAAGAGAUAGGGCCUUCAUUCCUUGCUUCUUAGAUCCAUGGAUUUGGAUGAAAAUUAGGUUUCUCCAAGUUCCCAAAAUAGGGAACCUCUAAGUCUCUUCACCAAGGUUUGAUUGUAGAAG